UUGUGUCGAGACAAUGUUCGAGCAUGAUGUCUCCCUUCUCGGGAAGCUCCCUCGACCCCACGAACCC
Molecule: ribosomal RNA, 67 nt
Filed under: Lactarius subflammeus
Lineage: Eukaryota; Fungi; Basidiomycota; Agaricomycetes; Russulales; Russulaceae
Description: partial 28S ribosomal RNA
Source: RNAcentral